GGGUGUUGGGCAGGUAUGGUUACAUUGCGCAGGUCUGAAAAACCUGAGAACAAAGUUCAAUUCUUUGAACACCCA
RNAcentral lists this transfer RNA (75 nucleotides) under Crassvirales sp. RNAcentral's name for it is "tRNA-Phe". It matches the Rfam family "tRNA". From Rfam's summary of the family: Transfer RNA (tRNA) molecules are approximately 80 nucleotides in length. The record is from RNAcentral. Lineage: Duplodnaviria; Heunggongvirae; Uroviricota; Caudoviricetes; Crassvirales.